Molecule: RNA transcript, 4420 nt
Organism: Gorilla gorilla gorilla (western lowland gorilla)
Lineage: Eukaryota; Metazoa; Chordata; Mammalia; Primates; Hominidae
Gene: ZC3H8
Gene name: zinc finger CCCH-type containing 8
Exons: 10
Source: RefSeq, a predicted model, not a curated record
CUGCGCGGGGCGGAGCCUGUGGCCCUGGCGCGGCUCUGGGUCCGUCUCGUCGCGUCCGGGUUGUCACUCUCUCGGGUUGUUACUCUGUAGCUUCCCGGCUCGCGAAAGGGAGGACCUGUCUGGGUCAUGGAUUUUGAGAAUCUUUUCUCAAAACCCCCCAACCCGGCCCUCGGCAAAACGGCCACGGACUCUGACGAAAGAAUCGAUGAUGAAAUAGAUACAGAAGUUGAAGAAACACAAGAAGAGAAAAUUAAACUGGAGUGCGAGCAAAUUCCCAAAAAAUUUAGACACUCUGCAAUAUCACCAAAAAGUUCGCUGCAUAGAAAAUCAAGAAGUAAGGACUAUGAUGUAUAUAGUGAUAAUGAUAUCUGCAGUCAGGAAUCAGAAGAUAAUUUUGCCAAAGAGCUUCAACAGUACAUACAAGCCAGAGAAAUGGCAAAUGCUGCUCAACCUGAAGAAUCUACAAAGAAAGAAGGAGUAAAAGAUACCCCACAGGCUGCUAAACAAAAAAAUAAAAAUCUUAAAGCUGGUCACAAGAAUGGCAAACAGAAGAAAAUGAAGCGAAAAUGGCCUGGCCCUGGAAACAAAGGAUCAAAUGCUUUGCUGAGGAACAGUGGCUCACAGGAUGAGGAUGGUAAACCUAAAGAGAAGCAGCAGCAUUUGAGUCAGGCAUUCAUCAACCAACAUACAGUGGAACGCAAGGGAAAGCAAAUUUGUAAAUAUUUUCUUGAAAGGAAAUGUAUUAAGGGAGACCAGUGUAAAUUUGAUCAUGAUGCAGAGAUAGAAAAGAAAAAGGAAAUGUGUAAGUUUUAUGUACAAGGAUAUUGUACCAGAGGUGAAAACUGUCUGUAUUUGCAUAAUGAAUAUCCUUGUAAGUUUUACCAUACAGGAACAAAAUGUUAUCAGGGAGAAUAUUGCAAGUUUUCUCAUGCUCCACUGACUCCUGAAACACAAGAAUUGUUGGCUAAAGUUUUGGAUACUGAAAAGAAGUCAUGUAAAUAAAAUAGACAUAAAAAGGAACGCACCAUACUCAAUAAGGCAAACAGUAGAGGCAUUUCCACUAGAAGAGUCUAUGUUCCAUUGAGACUGCCUGGUUUCUAAACCUUGAGUAGAGUUCCCUUCUGAAAACAUCUGCCUUUGGGAGAAUGGGAAGAUAGAUGAAGUACUUCUGCAACUGUAUUCCUAAGAUAAGUACAUGUGCUGUGUUAUCUGAGUUGCAAGCUGAAUGAGUUGUUUUUCAUGACUGCUAUUUUUACUUGAAAGAACAACUGAGAGCUGGGUGUGCUGGUAUGAGCCUGUAAUGCCAGCUGCUGUGGAGGUGGAGGCAGGAGUUUGAAUUCAGGUCCAGCCUGGGUAACACAAUAAGACCCUAUCUCUACAAAAACAAAAACAAAAACAAAAACAAAAACAAAAAACACAAGAAACCAGACACACAUACAAACACAAACCCAAACAAAGAAACAAAACCAAGGGGCAACAUUUUUUUUCAGAUAUAGAUGUUUGACAGGAACUUUUUCAGAAAUGAACAGAGUGACCCUGUCACUUUGAGGAGGACAACUGAAAAUAUUUGUUGUCAAUGAUAAAAUUCAAGCUUUUAAGCAAAAAUUAUAAUUUUAGAACAUCUGAUCCAUCCCUGUGAGCUUGAAAGCUUUCCUGUACCUAAAGACUGUUUUGGCAAGAUUCAUUGGUGAUAUUAAAGAAUGUAACUUUUUAAAAACACUCUACUAUAUAAUGAAACAUGUGGAAGAUCUGCAUAGAUUAGUAAACUGAUAUUUUCUAAAUAAACAAUGCACAAUAUUACAGAAUUAUACAUGCAUAAAGCACCCAUCCAACCUACAAAGACCAAUGGAUUUUAAUGUAACAGUAUAAAAAGUUCAUUGAUGUGGUUUCAGAUUUUAUACUGCAACUUGAAAAUGUUUCCAUUUGCUUUUAAUAUUCAUUUGCCCAUCACUUUAUUUUUAGCUUUUCUUUUUUUUUGAGAUGGAGUCACCCAGGCUUGAAUGAAGUGGCACGAUCUUUGCUCACUGCAACCUCUGCCUUCUGGGUUCAAGUGAUUCUCAUGUCUCAGCCUCCUGAAUAGCUGGGAUUACAGGCAUGUGCCACCAUGUCUGGCUAAUUUUUUUCUAUUUUUAGUAGAAGUGGGGUUUCACCAUGUUGGCCAGGCUGGUCUCGAACUCCUGAGCUCAAGUGAUCCACCCACCUUGGUCUCCCAAAGUGCUGGGAUUACAGAUGUGAGCCACCGCGCCUGGUCUAUUUUUAGCUUUUCUGAAUAAUUUUUAGGUUUGUUUCUUGUAUGGAACAUAUGUAGUUGGGUUUUGCUCUGUGGGCUCAACCAAAAAUCUUUUUCUUUUGAUAAGUGGAUUAAGACCAUUCACAUUUGUUGAAAUUACCAAAUGUUUGGUUUAGUUUCUGUCAUUUUAUUGUUACUGUGUUUCUUUCUCUAUAAUGUGUUUUCUUUGUUUUCUAUUAAAUUUUUCUUUCUUCAUCUCAUUUUUUGUUCUCUUUCUGCUUUUGUCCGAUAAUGUUCAUCAUGUUUCCAUUCAAAUUUAUUCUUUCUUGUAAUAUAGUCUUCAUUUGUAAUAUAAUUUUUUUCUUGUUUGCCAUGUCUGAGGUUAGUCAACUCUUGUCUCAUUAUUUGUAUUUUUUUUUUUUUUGCUUCAGUUCUAAUCUUAGUUUUUGAAUUUCAAUUCAGAAUGUUCUUUAAUUUUCCCAAAGAGGGGUGUUUAAUUCUGUUUGGAUUUUUGCUUGUUUUCUUCAGCUAUAUGUUUUUUGUUGUUGUUGUUUUGGGAGAUGAGAGCUGGGAGUAAGGGCGGCUCUGCUGGUAAUUUUCAUGAGCUGAUGUGUUUUUGUUCUCUGUUUUCUUCUGUAGGUAGCAAUGUACAGAUAAAGAGUACUUUAACGCCCAUGCCUGUUCAAGACUGUUCAAGACUGGUGAUUUGGAGUAGUUUACAAGAUUCCUCAUUCAGAGUGCCCUCUUGUGUGACUGGGGUGAUGUGCAGCUUCCAUAAUGGAUGGGACAGAGAGCUGGGAUCUAAUGUGCAAGUGAAGGGCUUGGUCUUCCCCGAGACAUUCCAACCAUUGGAAUAGGAGAGGAGCAUAUAUGGCAGAGGUGAUGGCUGGUGGGUAAAUGUGAUAGUAAAUUGUAGACACCUCUUCUGAUUGAUUGGAUUUCCUUAAUAAAAUAGGAAGCAAGGUUAGGCUGAGUGAGGGUGAGUAAAGAGGUGGAGGAGAUUUGAGGAGAGACAACUGCUCGGAAGACAUUGGUAGAUGGACCAUAAAAACAGAGUUAGUUCUCUUUAUGACAUUAAAUAGUUUUACAACAUAUUUUUAGUGGUUGUUCACAAUUUCAUUUUAGGGCUUAAAAUAAAUUAUGGUUCUAUGAUUUUUUUAAACCAGUUUCCUAUUGUUAGACAUUUGUUUCCAGUUUCUUACUAUUAUAAAUAAAGUGAAACAAUAUCUCUUACUAUACCAUUUCUAAAUUUAGAGUUCCUAACUUUUCUGUUGUUAAAAUAUAAGAAUAUUUAUCUUUCUCAUUGGUUUAUAAACUGUAUUCAGAUUAUACACUUGUGUGAGUUACAAACUUUAGGAGUGUGAUGGUAUCAUUAACACAAGAUUCAAAUACAAAUGUUCCAAGUACAAAUAAUAAUGAGAUUCUAAAUAUGCAGUUUUAUAUAGUAAUAUUGAUUAUUGGUUAUUAUUAGACAAAUACCAUGAAAUGGAAACUCGUCAUUAUAUUGUUUUAUUGUUGGGAAAAGUAAUAGUAUUACCAACUUGCUGGACAUACAGAGUACACCAAAGCUAGUGAUACUUCUUAGCAAAGUCCUAUUUGAAAAUAGGAAUCAAAGUUAUUUUCAUUGUUAUCUAAUCCUGCUAAAGCAAGAAAGGGAACUGCAUAUACUCCAAGCAAAGGUUUAUCAGACAAGACCAAAUAAAGCAGGAAACAAGGGUAAAUCCUAGGCCCUUAGAAGCAGGAAACUGAGGAAUGGAGAGCAAGUCAUCUCUCAGUGCCCUUUUGCUGUCUGCCCAGGUUGGUUGGUUCACUUCUCAGCUGUGGCUCAGGAGGUGGGCAAGGCACUUCUUAUUUAAGUCUCGUAACAACCUUAUACAGUGGAUAAUGCAAUUCAUUGCAUAGAAAGGGAAAAUAGGAAUGCUUAAUUUUUUAAUUUUUAUGAGCCUUGUCAAUACUUGUAAUUAAUCUUAUACUACAGUCUAGCAGUUUACUUCCUAAUAUUACCUCAUGUAUAGUUUGAUACUUAUAAAGUAUAGAUUUUAUAUAUAAAGUUUAUAUAUAAGGAAAAAAAUAAUUGUUAUAUUUCUGAGGCAGUACCCAUCUCACUUGUAAACUUAAAAGACACCGCAGAGAUUUGAGGGACUCAGAAGUCAAAUAAAGUGGGUUAAAAACCUCUUAUUUUUCAAAUAA